ACGGGAUGAACGCUAGCUACAGGCUUAACACAUGCAAGUCGUGGGGCAGCAUAUAGAUAGCUUGCUAUUUAUGAUGGCGACCGGCGCACGGGUGAGUAACGCGUAUCCAACCUUCCCCAUAGUAGGGUAUAGCCCGGCGAAAGUCGGAUUAAUCCCCUAUGUUGUUUGAAGCGGACAUCUAAUUCAAACCAAAGAUUCAUCGCUAUGGGAUGGGGAUGCGUCUGAUUAGGUUGCAGGCGGGGUAACGGCCCACCUGGCCGACGAUCAGUAGGGGUUCUGAGAGGAAGGUCCCCCACACUGGUACUGAGACACGGACCAGACUCCUACGGGAGGCAGCAGUGAGGAAUAUUGGUCAAUGGGCGCGAGCCUGAACCAGCCAAGUAGCGUGCAGGAUGACGGCCCUACGGGUUGUAAACUGCUUUUAUGCGGGGAUAAAGUGCGGCACGUGUGCCGUUUUGCAGGUACCGCAUGAAUAAGGACCGGCUAAUUCCGUGCCAGCAGCCGC
This 505-nucleotide ribosomal RNA is filed under the name uncultured bacterium. RNAcentral describes it as "bacterial SSU rRNA". It matches the Rfam family "Bacterial small subunit ribosomal RNA", at positions 27 to 518 of the family's 1533-position model. The record is from RNAcentral.